Molecule: unclassified non-coding RNA, 1677 nt
Filed under: Dufourea novaeangliae
Lineage: Eukaryota; Metazoa; Arthropoda; Insecta; Hymenoptera; Halictidae
Description: n-alpha-acetyltransferase 30-like, transcript variant X1
Source: RNAcentral
UUCAAUAUGGUGGCCGUUGUUGCACGGUUUACGUCGGAUAUCCGGAUUUUGAAGUAGAAAUAGUAUCAGUGGAUCAUUUAAUCUACUGUAAUUAUGGAAAUUCGAUUGAAAAUUUUGUACCGUAUCGAAAAACUUUGAUGGUACAUCAGUACGUUUGGUAAAAAGUUGAAUACAAUACAAUCGAGGCACUCUGUACAUACUAGCUUAGGAAGUGGUGUUCGGGCAUUGAAAAUCUAAGAAAAAUCUGAAAAAUGGAAAACGUUAAGAUGGAAAAUGUGACAGAUACAGCUCAAUCGGAAGUGGAGUCAAGUAAUACCGUAGAUGGAACGGAAAGUUCCGUCACAGAUAUCACUAAUUUAGACAUUAAAUCUCGACUUAGUCUGACAACGAGUGAUGUCUACGAAGAACCACGUACAAAUGGAAUACCUCGGCAAGGUCAUUUAAAUCAGCACGAUGAAGCAAAAACAUUGUCUCAGGAAAAUAGCGACGACAACAUUCAGUACAUUAGCUACACAAGUGAAUUACAAAUGCCUGACAUUAUGCACUUAAUACAAAAGGAUCUGAGCGAACCUUACUCCAUUUACACGUACAGAUAUUUCAUUCAUAAUUGGCCGAAAUUAUGUUUCCUGGCGAUGCACGAAGACAAAUGUAUUGGUGCCAUUGUUUGCAAGUUGGAUAUCCACAGAAAGGUGAUAAAACGUGGAUACAUUGCUAUGUUAGCUGUUGACGUGAAAUAUCGUAAGCGGAAAGUUGGAUCGAAUUUGGUAAGGAGAGCGAUACAAGCUAUGAUGGAAGAUAACGCUGACGAGGUAGUCUUGGAAACAGAGAUCACUAAUCGACCGGCGCUACGUUUAUACGAGAAUCUAGGCUUUGUGCGCGACAAACGAUUAUUUCGGUAUUAUUUGAACGGUGUGGAUGCACUUCGAUUAAAAUUGUGGCUCAGAUGAAAUUUGUCUGCAUAUUUAUGUCAAUAAACAUUUCAAUCAUUAGAACGUUCAACAAACAGAGAGAGAAUGGGAAAAAGAGAAACAGGGAAUCUUCUGUAUUCCGAAAUAUCGAGGAAUGCGCAAUGUUAAUGCCAGAGAAAAAAAUAAAUAGAUAGAGAAAGAGGGGGGAGGAGAGAGAGAGAGAGAAAGAAAGAAAGAGAGAUUAUCGGUUGUCUACGCACAAGGCAUUUCUAUUCGACAGUACCGUCUACAUCGAAUAAUGUUUUCUGCUGUGCCACCAUCUCGAAGCUAAGAGAUGACAGCGUAGAAAAUCGACACUCUGAAGAGUGGUUGUUGAACGAGUACUUUGGACACGUCGUGGCAACAAAUGCACAAUCAAUUGCGUGUAUACGUAUUACGCGUGAACAGUAAUGCCAUUGGAUAUUGGUUGUUUCGGACAUUACACAAGUCUGUCGUACGGUAAUAACGGAUACACGUACGAGUACACGAGAAACGGAGGGGCGGCGCACGAAUGCGUAUAAAUGUAUGCAGAUGAACGGAACAUGAUGAUGAAUUGUUAUCGUUUGCCAAAUUUCAAAUAUUUCAAGGGGACUACAUCGCGUGCGAUUGACACACGAUCGUAUUCAUUGCUGUUUACUUAUUGUAUUUACCUUUGUAUAAAAACAAACACGAGCCUCGAAUCGCGAUGUAACUAUUAAAAUGUGUAAAAAUGUUAAUAAAAAGUACGGAA